AACGAACGCUGGCGGCAGGCCUAACACAUGCAAGUCGAACGGGACCUUCGGGUCUAGUGGCGGACGGGUGAGUAACGCGUGGGAACGUGCCCUUUGGUUCGGAAUAGCCUCGGGAAACUGGGAGUAAUACCGGAUGAGCCCUUCGGGGGAAAGAUUUAUCGCCAAAGGAUCGGCCCGCGUUGGAUUAGGUAGUUGGUGGGGUAAUGGCCUACCAAGCCGACGAUCCAUAGCUGGUUUGAGAGGAUGAUCAGCCACACUGGGACUGAGACACGGCCCAGACUCCUACGGGAGGCAGCAGUGGGGAAUCUUAGACAAUGGGGGAAACCCUGAUCUAGCCAUGCCGCGUGAGCGAUGAAGGCCUUAGGGUUGUAAAGCUCUUUCAGUGGGGAAGAUAAUGACGGUACCCACAGAAGAAGCCCCGGCUAACUCCGUG
This 433-nucleotide ribosomal RNA is filed under the name uncultured bacterium. Its description in RNAcentral is "bacterial SSU rRNA". It matches the Rfam family "Bacterial small subunit ribosomal RNA", at positions 29 to 507 of the family's 1533-position model. The record is from RNAcentral.